GGCCUCCUGAUACUUAACCACAGGCUGUGUUCUUACACUGACAGUGCAGAAAGAGGAAGCAGAGUAAACCUACCAUAUAUAACACCUCAGCCCCCCUGUGCAUGGUCUGUAUUGUGAACAGGAUACAUGG
Molecule: small nucleolar RNA, 130 nt
Organism: Dipodomys ordii (Ord's kangaroo rat)
Lineage: Eukaryota; Metazoa; Chordata; Mammalia; Rodentia; Heteromyidae
Source: Ensembl